Molecule: transfer RNA, 89 nt
Filed under: Bangia fuscopurpurea
Lineage: Eukaryota; Rhodophyta; Bangiophyceae; Bangiales; Bangiaceae
Description: tRNA-Ser
Source: RNAcentral
CGGAGAGAGAGGGAUUCGAACCCUCGAUGACUAGAUUCAGUCAUGACAAUUUUCGAAAUUGUUGCAAUCAACCACUCUGCCACCUCUCC